Molecule: ribosomal RNA, 229 nt
Filed under: uncultured bacterium
Lineage: Bacteria
Description: partial 16S ribosomal RNA
Rfam family: Bacterial small subunit ribosomal RNA
Source: RNAcentral
UCCGUAGGCGGGCAAUUAAGUCAAAGGUGAAAUCCCACAGCUCAACUGUGGAACUGCCUUUGAUACUGGUUGUCUUGAGUUAUAGUGAAGUAGAUAGAAUAUGUAGUGUAGCGGUGAAAUGCAUAGAUAUUACAUAGAAUACCGAUUGCGAAGGCAGUCUACUAACUGUAUACUGACGCUAAUGGACGAAAGCGUGGGGAGCGAACAGGAUUAGAUACCCUGGUAGUCC